GGCCGCGGGGACCCCUGCCUCCGCCUGUGGGCGCGGUGGAGCCGGUGAGGGGGCGCUCGUGCGAGGGCUCGGCGGGCGGCGCGGGGCCCGCGGGGCCGUGGAGCGGCUGACGCGGGUGCUGGGUCCUCGCUGGGCCCGGCUCGGGGCCGCUCCGCCGACCUGCCGCCGCCGCCGGGGCCGGGGCCCCAGGCGGAGGGGCCGGGGCCGCGCAGGCGGGGAGGCCGGCGGACGUCUUGCCGCGUGUGGAGGUUUUCGGCGGCGGCCUCGAGGGCGAGGGCCGGGCGAGCAGAGGGUGAGGCGGGACCCGCGGCGGGGCGACGGGGGAGAGGCCGCCGGAGGCCGCGCCUUCGGAAUGAAAAGUGUUCAUGUGUGUAGACUCUCUCUUUUUCUUGAUAAGUCUGGCUAGGGGUUUACUAUUUUAUUUAUUUUCUCGAAGAACCAGCUCCUGCUUUCAUUCUCUCUAUUGUUCUAUUCUCUAUUUUAUUUAUUUCUGCUCUAAACAUUAUUAUGUCCCUCCUUCUCCUGACUUUGGGCCUCACUUUUUCUUCUUUGUCUAGUUUGGUUAAUUGUGAGUUUACACUGUUCAUAUAGGAUUGUUGUUCUUCCCUGAGGUAGGCCUGUGGUGCAAUAUGCUUCCUUCUUACCACCGCCUUCGCUGAGUCCCACAGAUUUUUGCCUUGUUGAAUUAUUGUUGUUAUUUGUUUCCAUGUAUUGCUUGAUCUCUGUUUUUAUUUGGUCAUUGAUCUACUGGUUAUUUAGGAGCAUGUUGUUAAGCCUCCAUGUGAUUGUAGGCCAUUUCGUCGUCUUUGUGUAAUUUAUUUCUAGUUUCAUACCCUUGUGGUCUGAGAAGCUGGUUGGUACAAUUUAAAUCUUUUCAAAUUUUCUGAGGCUCUUUUUGUGGCCUAGUAUAUGUUCUAUUCUUGAAAAUGUUCCGUGUGCACUUGAGAAGAAUGUGUAUCCUGGUGCUUUUGAGUGGAGAGUUCUGUAGAUGUCUAAGGUCCAGCUGUUCUAAUGUGUUGUUCAAUGCCUCUGUGUCCUUACUUAUUUUCUGUCUGGUUGAUCUGUUCUUUGGAGUGAGUGGAGUGUUGAAGUCUCCUAAAAUGAAUGCAUGACAUUCUAUUUCCCCUUUGAAUUCUGUUAGUAUUUGUCUCACAUAUGUAGGUGCUCCUGUGUUGGGUGCAUAGAUAUUUAUAGUGGUCAUAUCCUCUCGUUGGAUUGACCCCUUUAUCUUAUGUAAUGUCCUUCUUUAUCUCUUGUGACUUUCUUUUUUUGAAGUCUAUUUUGUCAGAUAGUAGUACUGCAACACCUGCUUUUUUCUCCCUGUUGUUUGCAUGAAGUAUCUUUUUCCAUCCCUUUACUUGUAGUCUGUGCAUGUCUUCGGGUUUGAGGUGAGUCUCUUGUAAGCAGCAUGUAGAUGGGUCUUGCUGUUUUAUCCAUUCUGUUACUCUGUGUCUUCUGGUUGGUGCAUUCAGUCCAUUUACAAUUAGGGUGAUUAUCAAAAGAUACGUGCUUAUUGCCGUUGCAGGCUUUCGAUUCGUGGUUACCAAAGGUUCAAGGGUAGCUUCUUUACUAUCUGACUGUCUAACUUAACUCUUGUUACUAUCUGACUGUCUAACUUAACUCUUGUAUUAGGCUAUUAUAAACACAGUCUGAUGAUUCUUUAUUUCUCUCCCUUCUUAUUCUUCCUCCAUUCUUUAUAUGGUAGGUGUUCUAUUCUGUACUCCUUUGUGUUUCCUUUGACUGCUUUUGUGGAUUGUUGAUUUUAUUUUUUUGCCUUUAGUAAGUAUUUGGUUGGUUUGCUUUCUUUGCUGUGAUUUUAUUUUCUCUGGUGACACCUAUUUAGCCUUAGGAGUGCUUCCAUCUAGAGCAAUCCCUUUAAAAUAUCCUGUAGAGGUGGUUUGUGGGAGGCAAAUUUCCUCACUUUUGCCUGUCUGAGAAUUGUUUAUUCCCUCCUUCAAAUUUAAAUGACAGUCAUGCUGGAUACAGUAUUCUUGGGUCAAGGCCCUUCUCUUUCUUUGCAUUAAAUAUAUCAUGCCAUUCUCUUCUGGCCUGUAAGGUUUCUGCUGAGAAGUCUGAUGAUAGCCUGAUGGGUUUUCCUUUGUAUGUGGUCUCAUUUCUCUCUCUGGCUGCUUUUAAAAGUCUGUCCUUAUCCUUGAUCUUUGCCAUUUUAAUUAUUAUAUGUCUUGGUGGUGUCCUCCUUGGGUCCCUUGUGUUUGCAGAUCUGUGCACCUCCAUGGCCUGAGAAACUAUCUCCUUCCCCAUAUUGGGGAAGUGUUCAGCAAUUACUUCCUCAAAGACACUUUCUAUCCCUUUCUCUCUCUCCUUCUUCUGGCACUCCUGUAAUAUGAAUAUUGUUCUGUUUGGAUUGGUCACACAGUUCUCUCAGUAUUCUUUCAUUCCUAGAGAUCCUUUUUUCUCUCUGUGCCUCAUCUUGUUUGUAUUCCUCUUCCCUAGUUUCUGUUUUCAUUUGUCGUCUCCUCCACCGAAUCUAAUCUGCUUUUAAUACCCUACAGUGUGCUCUUCAAUGAUUAGAUCUCCUUCCUAAAUUCUUUCCCGAGUUCUUGAAUAUUUUUCUGUACCUCCAUGAGCAUGUUUAUAGUUUUUAUUUUGAAAUCUCUUUCAGGAAGAUUUAUUAAUUCAGCCUCAGUCCUUUCUCUGGUGCUGAGAUUUUGCUUUGAACCAGGUUCCUUUGACGUUAUAUAUUUGUAUGUGGCGCCCUCUAGUGCCCAGAACCUCUUCUCUCUGGAGCUGCUCACCCAGUGGAGGGAUGUCCUGGGUCUCAGGGGGAGUGGUGCUGGUGCCCUGUUCCGUGAGAUCCGCUGCUUUCUCCAGGUAUAUGCAGUCUGCUGCAGCCUUGUUUCCCGGUGCUCUUUCAGGACUAGUUGUGUUAAUUAUAUUUUCACAUUAUAUGUGGUUUUGGAGGGGAUCUCUGUCUCACGUCUCACACCGCCGUCUUUAAUCCAGUCUCAGUUUUGAUGCUCCGCCUAGAACUUGGAGUUAUGACUUGUCAAAUCUGGAUGGCUCUGUUGGUUGCAGUUAAUUUACUGUCAGGAGAGGAGCUACUAUGGUAUCUGGGAUUUACCUCUCCGCAUCAGAGUGAAGAAGUAGUAAGAUUCUUAACUUAUUCUUUAGCAGAUAGACAAUAACUCAGCCCACCUUGCGAACUGGGCGGGCAGCCUUGAAUGAUAUGCUCCCUGACCAAGACGCCGGUAUCCCAGGGAGAAACCAGAGCACUAAAUUUCGUGUGUUAAGUUGAUUUUAAAUAUUCAGGGACCCCUUAACAAGUCCACACCGUUAAGCCUUUAUAGGGUCCCCCCAAAUCCUCAACUGCCUAUAAAAAUCCCUAGGCAACGCACAACUAUGGGCUCUCUUGACCCCUCCUGGCGCCGCGAGCCAGGAGAUCUGUCCUGUCACUGUAUCUCUCACUAAAAGCGUCUCCUACGUUGGCUUGGGUGUUCUCUAAGUUCACUCUUCCCCUCCGCAGACAAGAAAAACCCCAGCAUCAUUUUGGGUGGCUCGUCCGGGAUAAUGUGGGAGGUGAGUUAUCAGCAUCGAAGCCUGCCUUUUCUUUCACUGUCUUUAUAGAAGCCGUCGGUGGCACACAACAUCGGACGCCCGUGAGCCACUUAAGUGGAACUAGCCCGGUUGCAUUUUACUAGAAAGUUGUCCAUUUCUUCUAGGUUAUCCAGUGUGUUAGCAUAUGAUUUUUCAUGGUAUUCUCUCAUAAUUCUUUUUAUUUCUGUGGUUUCUGUAGUGAUUUUUCCUUUUUCAUUUCUGAUUCUGUUUAUGUGUGCAGGCUCUCUUUUUUUCUUGAAGAGUCUGGCUAGAGGUUUAUCCAUUUUGUAUGUUUUCUCGAAGAAUCAGCUCCUGCUUUCAUGGAUUCUUUGUAUUGUUUCAUUCUUCUCGGUUUUAUUUAUUUCUGCUCCAAUCUUUAUUACGUUCCUCCUCCUGCUGACUUUGGGCCUCAUUUGUUCUUCUUUUUCUAGUUGUGGUAGUUGUGAGUUUAGACUGUUCAUAUGGGAUUGUUCUUCUUUCCUGAGGUAGGCCUGUAUUGCAGUGUACUUCCCUCUCAGCACCGCCCUUUCUCUGUCCCACGGAUUUUGUGUUGUUCAGUUAUUGCUGUCAUUUGUCUCCAUAUAUUGCUGGAUCUCUGUUUUUAUUCGGUCAUUGAUCCGUUGGUUAUUCAGGAGCAUGUUGUUAAGCCUCCAUGCGGUGGUGGGCUUUUUCGUUUUAUUUGCGUAAAUUAUUUCUAGUUUCAUACCCUUGUGGUGUGAGAAGCUGCGUCGUUUUUGGGGGCUCGUCCGGGAUAACUUCGGAGGAAGAGAACAAAGAGCAUUUUCCUGACCAAUACUUACACACUGGCAGCUUGGGGAUCAAGUGAUGAAGCCCCAUGUGCAGCAGUAACGGCAAUCUGAGCCACUCUGAUUACGGUGACCAUCAUGCACUGGCAUCUCCAAGAUUCAUCUGUUUUCCGAGUAGGCCAAAUGAGUGACUUCAACAAGGGUAUGUGGAGAUCACCACCCCGACAUCUUCCAAGUCCUUGGUGGCGACACCGGUUUCUGUACUCUCUCCUGGAAGGCGUUACUGCUUUCAGUGUGUACUUUAGAUGGAAUCCUAGAGGCUUGUGCUCGAGCUACCAUACAGCACGAAUUCCUUGCCGGCACAGUCCCCUGUGGCUAGCGAGGAGGAAGGCAGGAGCUCUGCGUUCCUCCAGGGCAGCUCGGCCUUGGGCCCUGACACCGAGGGAGCGGCAGUGCGGGCACUUGGUCGGGGGACCGCUCCUGGUACCGAAACCCAGUCCUUGUCCCUGAGGUCAAAUCACAAAAGACAGUGACAAGGUUUUGAGGAAAGGAAAGAAUAGUUUAUUGAUUUGCUAGCAAACGAGGGAGCGGCAGGCUCCUGCCUUGCAGAACCACCGUCCUCCGGACACACAAGCGGUCAGGGCUUUUCGAGGGGAAAUCGUGGGAGAGGGGCUGGGGUGCAGACACAUGAAGCAGCAGCUUGCAAGGGUCCAAGCAGACAUUCCUGCGCCGAUUCACUAGCUUUGUGUUUUUCUUUUCUGCUCCUCCUCAGUCCCCUGGGACAGGAUGCUUUUUUGAGUCCCCUGUUUAGUGAACUUUACUGGCCUUAAUUGUCUCUCAUCCCGCUCAUAUCUAUUUUUCUGCCUAACACUCCCAAGACUGACCAGCCUCUCGGUAAACAUCCCAUAGACAUGCAAACAGGCACUUCAGGUCUACAAUGGGUGACACCCGGGCAAGGAUCCUGGCUGUAAUUUCCAUUUUCUCCACACCAUCCUGGUCCUUUUAACAAAAAGAGAGAGGUCCUGGUUCAGCCCUGAGUAAACAUAGCUACUUGACUGGUGGUGGGAGGAAGAAUUUCUUCAGUUCCUCGAGGUUCCCUUAGCUGGUCUAAGAAACAAAUUGACAUGAGACAGAUGAACAGGAGAAAAAGUAACAAAAUUUAAUUAAGUACAUAAAGGGAAGCCAUAGACGCGUGUUCCACAGACAGGGUGUGGAAUUGCAAUAUUUCCAGAAUCUCUUGACCUGGCUUUAGUGCUUCUCCGUAUCAACAGGUGUUUCCAAGGGGUGGAGAGAAGUAGUCCGUCUCCACGUCAGUGGGUAAUUACGUGGGCGAGGGAGGGUUUAUCUGGACCAGAGAGCUUGGUGGGAGUAUUCGCUCUCUUCUACUGCAGCAGGAGAGAGAGAUGCAGGGCGACUGCUGGUAGGCAAUAAAUGACCUUUAAACAUUA
Manis pentadactyla (Chinese pangolin) is the source of this 5749-nucleotide RNA transcript. It is a transcript of the gene named ral guanine nucleotide dissociation stimulator-like 2, with no coding region annotated. Lineage: Eukaryota; Metazoa; Chordata; Mammalia; Pholidota; Manidae. The transcript has 2 exons. The record is from RefSeq and is a predicted model, not a curated record.